Molecule: ribosomal RNA, 301 nt
Filed under: uncultured bacterium
Lineage: Bacteria
Description: partial 16S ribosomal RNA
Rfam family: Bacterial small subunit ribosomal RNA
Source: RNAcentral
CAGUCGCCACGGGAAUACAGAGGGUGCAAGCGUUAAUCGGAAUUACUGGGCGUAAAGCGCGCGUAGGUGGUUUGUUAAGUUGGAUGUGAAAGCCCCGGGCUCAACCUGGGAACUGCAUCCAAAACUGGCAAGCUAGAGUACGGUAGAGGGUGGUGGAAUUUCCUGUGUAGCGGUGAAAUGCGUAGAUAUAGGAAGGAACACCAGUGGCGAAGGCGACCACCUGGACUGAUACUGACACUGAGGUGCGAAAGCAUGGGGAGCAAACAGGAUUAGAUACCCGAGUAGUCCUGUCUCUUAUACA